GCCCUCGUAGUCUAGCUUGGAUAGGACGCUAGGUUGCGGACCUAGUAACCCGGGUUCAAAUCCCGGCGGGGGCA
Molecule: transfer RNA, 74 nt
Filed under: archaeon
Lineage: Archaea
Description: tRNA-Arg
Rfam family: tRNA
About the family: Transfer RNA (tRNA) molecules are approximately 80 nucleotides in length.
Source: RNAcentral